AGAGUUUGAUCCUGGCUCAGAUUGAACGCUGGCGGCAUGCCUUACACAUGCAAGUCGAACGGCAGCACGGGAGCAAUCCUGGUGGCGAGUGGCGAACGGGUGAGUAAUAUAUCGGAACGUGCCCAGUCGUGGGGGAUAACGCAGCGAAAGCUGUGCUAAUACCGCAUACGAUCUCUGGAUGAAAGCGGGGGACUCGCAAG
This 200-nucleotide ribosomal RNA is filed under the name uncultured bacterium. RNAcentral describes it as "partial 16S ribosomal RNA". It matches the Rfam family "Bacterial small subunit ribosomal RNA", at positions 8 to 221 of the family's 1533-position model. The record is from RNAcentral.